This 495-nucleotide ribosomal RNA is filed under the name uncultured bacterium. RNAcentral's name for it is "partial 16S ribosomal RNA". It matches the Rfam family "Bacterial small subunit ribosomal RNA", at positions 30 to 507 of the family's 1533-position model. The record is from RNAcentral.
UGACCGCUGGCGGCGUGCCUAAUACAUGCAAGUCGAGCGAACAGACGAGGAGCUUGCUCCUCUGCCGUUAGCGGCGGACGGGUGAGUAACACGUGGAUAACCUACCUAUAAGACUGGGAUAACUUCGGGAAACCGGAGCUAAUACCGGAUAAUAUAUUGAACCGCAUGGUUCACUAGUGAAAGACGGUUUUGCUGUCACUUAUAGAUGGAUCUGCGCCGCAUUAGCUAGUUGGUAAGGUAACGGCUUACCAAGGCGACGAUGCGUAGCCGACCUGAGAGGGUGAUCGGCCACACUGGAACUGAGACACGGUCCAGACUCCUACGGGAGGCAGCAGUAGGGAAUCUUCCGCAAUGGGCGAAAGCCUGACGGAGCAACGCCGCGUGAGUGAUGAAGGUCUUCGGAUCGUAAAACUCUGUUAUUAGGGAAGAACAAAUGUGUAAGUAACUAUGCACGUCUUGACGGUACCUAAUCAGAAAGCCACGGCUAACUACGUG